RNAcentral lists this long non-coding RNA (843 nucleotides) under Polistes fuscatus (common paper wasp). Its description in RNAcentral is "uncharacterized LOC122523432". Lineage: Eukaryota; Metazoa; Arthropoda; Insecta; Hymenoptera; Vespidae. The record is from RNAcentral.
GGUUUCGCGAUAAGAAACUCAUCUAUCGUUUCUUAUUUUCGUUUAUACCGCAUUAUUAGAUUCACGCGAGAUGCAUCACCAUGGUGCCACUGAGCUUCAUCGUAUUGGAAUACAUUAUAAGACGAUGGAUUUUUAUCCUUUUCAAUGAUAUGGAAUGGAUUCUUCGAUGGAUUUUCGAUGGAGUUUUGGUGAAUCUUUGAUGGAUUUUUGGUGGAUCUUUUUCAAUACCAAAUGGAGGAACUCUUCGAUCGUUAGACUACAAUACUUGCUGCGAAGUAGGAGUGUUUUGGAACCAUCGUAGAACUUCCAAUGCUAACUGUUAAUAUUUCAUAUAUGCGUCAAUUUAAUUUUUAAAUGCCACAUACGUGUGAUAUAACAGUUGAUAACGAGUGAGUAUAAAAAUUGAAAGUCCCUCCGUCGCUCAAUUAUGUGCCGAGGAUGAACGAUCCUAAUCGGCACGAAUUACUAGUUAUAAUUAUUUCAAUAAAUUAUUGACGAACACACGAGUAAUUCUUUUUUCAGUAUUACUCGUGCAAAAUUGUAUAUUCUAUUAUAUAUUUUAUUAGUUAUUUUUAUUGUCUAGAUUGUUUAUUAUCACGCCUUGACAUGAUGUCGAGACACUAUGAUUUUUCGCGUAAUGACUAUAUAUUAUAUGAUUAUUUUUAAUAAGUACAAUUACAAAACUUAGGUGUUACUUGAAGGGGGUAUGUUUAGAAAAAAUAUGCUAUGGCAAUUAAUUUGUAAAAUAAUUAUUAUUAAGAAUAUUUAAUGUACUUUCUCGAUAUUUCAUGAAAGUAAUUUCAGAGGUAUAGUUCGAUCAAAUAAAACGCGUGAUAAAUUUAA